AUUGGACGAUAUACUACGGGUGAA
Molecule: non-coding RNA, 24 nt
Filed under: Arabidopsis thaliana (thale cress)
Lineage: Eukaryota; Viridiplantae; Streptophyta; Magnoliopsida; Brassicales; Brassicaceae
Source: RNAcentral